UUUUGUAUUUUGUCGGGUCUAUAUUUUCAAUAAGUUUUCAAUAUUCUGUCUUGAGUCUUGAAAGACGAAUGGAAAGAUGUUUUAAUUUUAAUAGUUUUGAAGUGUUUAUUUUUGCAAACAAUUAUAAAAGCUAUUCUGUAAAAUAAUUAAGUUUCUGGGCUUAGUCCUUAAAAUGUUAUUUUUAUUUUAUUCGUCUCAAAGUGAAAAAAUACUAACGCGUCGUAAUUAUUUGAAAGUUUAACAAAGCUUGUGCGUGGCUAGGUGAAUGGGUGACUGAUUUCUGGCCUGGAGAAGAAGGGCAAUUGAUUUUAAGUAUGGUGCUUUUUGCUUUUAACAGAAGAAUCUCAUUUUUCUUUUAGUGCCCAUGUUUAAGAUGUAGAAAUUUGUGUUGAAAGAAUGUUUGAAGAUAUAAGAUAGGUACCUCAAUAAGUUUGCAAUUGUAAACCUCAAUAAGUUUGCAAUUGUAACCAUGCACAGGCAUUGUAUUCUACAUCCACAACCUAAGCAAGAUUUGUGUUCCACAUCUUUGUAUCGGUAAUUACAAGUAAUAAAUAUAAAUAAUCUUAAAAGCAAUGACAUAAAAAAAGUAUAGGUCAGGGAUAUUAAUCAUUUUUUAAAAAGAUAUCAAUACCUUACUUUGAAAACCUGGUAAGUUCAUUUUUUUGCAAAAAUAUUUAUAGUCUAUUUCGAUAAGGACCUCAGCCUAUUGUAUACUAUUGUAUUUUAUCUCAGGACAAUUUUUUUUCAUAAUUAAUAGAAAUAGAGCUCACUGGAAGAAGAUUUUUUUCCAAGGUUUUCAACUCAUACUUAAUAUGUUGAAAAGGUGUUAUUUAACUGCCAUAACAUUUUUUUCCUCUGCAAUAUUUUUCAAAAAUUUGGUGAAAUGUUUCAAGUUAAAUAAUACUCCUUUCUACAGUCUUUUGAAAGUGAAAUAACGUGGAUAUUUAAUAAAACUACUUUUGUUUUAGAUGGGUUAGACUAUUGUGUUUAUUUCUAGAGAGAUUUCUAGUUUCUCUAGUUAUAGAUACAGAUUAGAUGAUUAGAGUACAAAUGAGUUGAAAAGGAUUUUAGAUCUACAAAGAAGGUACAUGUUAUCGUAAGAAAAGAAUUUCAUAAUUAAUAAUUGAGAUUCAACCUAUAAAUUGUUAAACAUUAAUAGAAAUACAAGAUUAUGAUAAAAGGUACUACUAAAUAUGAAUGAAGUUGGUUGGUUUUUCAUCUUUCUACUGUAUAUUCUAAUGGAUUUGAAAGUGGUUAAAGUUCACUGUCUCUAUUCUCAAAAAAAAAUGUUUAGAAAAAUUAAGUGUUAUCAGACUUAUCAGAUAAUAUUAACUUUGAUCAUUUAUUUUGUCCUAUGUUUUAAAAAGCAAUGAUUUUUUUAUUUUUGAAGAUUUGAAUGGAAUGUCAUUAUAAAAAUCGGUUUUAGUCACACACAGAAGUCUAUUAAUCUUUCACUCUUUGUAUAUCAGAAAUUGAAAAUCUAUAUAUUUCUAUAGGUCUGGUGGCAAUUUUGAAUAUCGACCACUUGUUUUCUUUUCCAUGUUUUAAGGUUUAAGAAGAACAUUUUUCAGAGAUCAAGAUAUAGGCACACCAGUUUGAAAACUUAGUAUGGAACCAUUCUUGAAACUGGAAAUGUAUACCUUCGGGAGUGUUUUUGGUAUCUGCACAAGGACAAGAAAUUACAAAAUAACUGUUAAAGGAAUUUACAAUUUGCAAUGGACAUAUGGUAGCUGUGCAAAAAUUGGAAUUGGUUGUGCAAAAUUGUACAGUGUGUCCCAUUUUGGUUGAAAUUAUACGGUAUCUCCGUUAUUAGUGAAGAUAGAAGGUGUCCCACUUUAUUGUCAAACGAAAUAUGCUGUAAACAAAAUUUUCAUAGCCCUCUUUGUUUCUGAAGUUAUUCUAUAUUCUCUUUGUUUCUGAGUUAAUUUAUUAUCUGUUAUUGUAGAACUUUUUACGGAGAAUACAGUGGCGUAGUCUGUUAU
Molecule: long non-coding RNA, 1982 nt
Filed under: Sitophilus oryzae (rice weevil)
Lineage: Eukaryota; Metazoa; Arthropoda; Insecta; Coleoptera; Curculionidae
Description: uncharacterized LOC115875707
Source: RNAcentral